Long non-coding RNA from Amphimedon queenslandica, 229 nucleotides. RefSeq lists it as uncharacterized. The record is from RefSeq and is a predicted model, not a curated record. Lineage: Eukaryota; Metazoa; Porifera; Demospongiae; Haplosclerida; Niphatidae. The transcript is spliced from 3 exons.
AAAGUUGCUGAUAUUGAAGAGAAGAAACAGAUUAUUACUGAACAUUAUGAGAAACUUAAACUCAAAGUUGCUGAACAAUUGGAAGAGAAGGAGGAACGAUGUCUUAAAAAGAAACAGAUCAUUAUUGACGACAUUCAAAAUCUGAAAACUGACAUUUCUGAGAAAGACAAAGUUAUAGCCAAACUGACAUCACAAGUAGAGGAACAAUCAGAGAAUGAGAAACAGAUCA